Molecule: ribosomal RNA, 497 nt
Filed under: uncultured bacterium
Lineage: Bacteria
Description: partial 16S ribosomal RNA
Rfam family: Bacterial small subunit ribosomal RNA
Source: RNAcentral
GAUGAACGCUGGCGGCGUGCCUAAUACAUGCAAGUCGAGCGAACAGACGAGGAGCUUGCUCCUCUGACGUUAGCGGCGGACGGGUGAGUAACACGUGGAUAACCUACCUAUAAGACUGGGAUAACUUCGGGAAACCGGAGCUAAUACCGGAUAAUAUAUUGAACCGCAUGGUUCAAUAGUGAAAGACGGUUUUGCUGUCACUUAUAGAUGGAUCCGCACCGCAUUAGCUAGUUGGUAAGGUAACGGCUUACCAAGGCAACGAUGCGUAGCCGACCUGAGAGGGUGAUCGGCCACACUGGAACUGAGACACGGUCCAGACUCCUACGGGAGGCAGCAGUAGGGAAUCUUCCGCAAUGGGCGAAAGCCUGACGGAGCAACGCCGCGUGAGUGAUGAAGGUCUUCGGAUCGUAAAACUCUGUUAUUAGGGAAGAACAAAUGUGUAAGUGACUAUGCACGUCUUGACGGUACCUAAUCAGAAAGCCACGGCUAACUACGUG